This 253-nucleotide ribosomal RNA is filed under the name uncultured bacterium. RNAcentral's name for it is "partial 16S ribosomal RNA". It matches the Rfam family "Bacterial small subunit ribosomal RNA", at positions 524 to 776 of the family's 1533-position model. The record is from RNAcentral.
UACGGGGGGGGCAAGCGUUGUUCGGAAUUACUGGGCGUAAAGCGCGCGUAGGCGGCUCUUCAAGUCGAGUGUGAAAGCCCCGGGCUCAACCUGGGAACUGCAUUUGAAACUGGCGGGCUUGAGUGUGGCAGAGGAAGGUGGAAUUCCACGUGUAGCGGUGAAAUGCGUAGAGAUGUGGAGGAACACCGAUGGCGAAGGCAGCCUUCUGGGCCAACACUGACGCUCAUGCACGAAAGCGUGGGGAGCAAACAGG